RNAcentral lists this ribosomal RNA (462 nucleotides) under uncultured bacterium. RNAcentral describes it as "partial 16S ribosomal RNA". It matches the Rfam family "Bacterial small subunit ribosomal RNA", at positions 355 to 809 of the family's 1533-position model. The record is from RNAcentral.
UAGGGAAUCUUCCACAAUGGACGCAAGUCUGAUGGAGCAACGCCGCGUGAGUGAAGAAGGCUUUCGGGUCGUAAAACUCUGUUAUUGAAGAAGAACGUGCGUGACAGUAACUGGUCAUGCAGUGACGGUAUUCAAUCAGAAAGUCACGGCUAACUACGUGCCAGCAGCCGCGGUAAUACGUAGGUGGCAAGCGUUGUCCGGAUUUAUUGGGCGUAAAGCGAGUGCAGGCGGUCUUUUAAGUCUGAUGUGAAAGCCUUCGGCUUAACCGAAGAAGGGCAUCGGAAACUGGGAGACUUGAGUGCAGAAGAGGAGAGUGGAACUCCAUGUGUAGCGGUGAAAUGCGUAGAUAUAUGGAAGAACACCAGUGGCGAAGGCGGCUCUCUGGUCUGUAACUGACGCUGAGGCUCGAAAGCGUGGGUAGCAAACAGGAUUAGAUACCCUGGUAGUCCACGCCGUAAACGA